GAAAUGCGAUAAGUAAUGUGAAUUGCAGAAUUCAGUGAAUCAUCGAAUCUUUGAACGCACAUUGCGCCCUUUGGUAUUCCGAAGGGCAUGCCUGUUCGAGCGUCAUUUCACCACUCAAGCCUGGCUUGGUAUUGGGCGUCGCGGUUUUCCGCGCGCCUUAAAGUCUUCCGGCUGAGCUGUCCGUCUCUAAGCGUUGUGGAUUUUUCAAUUCGCUUCGGAGUGCGGAUGGCCGCGGCCGUUAAAUCUUUAUUCAAAGGUUGACCUCGGAUCAGGUAGGGAUACCCGCUGAACUUAA
RNAcentral lists this unclassified non-coding RNA (295 nucleotides) under uncultured Pseudocercospora. RNAcentral describes it as "sequence contains ITS1". The stretch from base 1 to 105 matches the Rfam family "5.8S ribosomal RNA", at positions 50 to 154 of the family's 154-position model. The record is from RNAcentral. Lineage: Eukaryota; Fungi; Ascomycota; Dothideomycetes; Mycosphaerellales; Mycosphaerellaceae.